CCCACUUAUAUUGUUGACAUCUUCCAUAUAAACAAACAUAGCUUCAUGUUGUCAUCUUCAUAAACUGCAAAAUAUCCCAUAAUAUGGAUGUACCUUGAUUUAGUUAAUUUCCUACUGAUAAACGUUUAGGUUGUCAAAUUUUCACUAUUAUAAACAAUUCUGUGAUGACCUCUUAUAUGUAUUUUUGGGCACAGAUCUUAUUAUCUACAUAGUAUAAAUUCCCCCAAAUUUCUGAGUCAAAGAAUAUAAAUUUUAGGGGAGGGUUGGAUAUAUUCUGCUGAUUGCUCUCCAGAAAGGACUAUAUGUGGUGACUUUCAGUGUUUUUUUUUUUUUUUUUUAAAGAUUUUAUUUUUUCCUUUUUCUCCCCAAAGCCCCCCGGUACAUAGUUGUGUAUUCUUCGUUGUGGGUUCUUCUAGUUGUGGCAUGUGGGACGCUGCCUCAGCGUGAUCUGAUGAGCAGUGCCAUGUCCGCGCCCAGGAUUCGAACCAACGAAACACUGGGCCGCCUGCAGCGGAGCACGCGAACUUAACCACUCCGCCACGGGGCCAGCCCCGACUUCCAGUGUUUUUUAACAGUAUGUCCUAGUUCUGAAUUUCAGUAAGGAGUCCUUGAUUACUAAUGUAACCUUGCUGUUCCUAACAUCUGGAUUAGAAAGGAUAUUUACAAAAAGUUUCGUACAGUAAUUUGAAUUUUUUUGCAGAGCCUUCUUCACUUUGUUUGAAAGUACUUGGUGAUCACAGUGUAUUAUUUACUACUUUGUGACUUUUGCAAGCUUCAGCUAACCACAAACGUGACUCUCCCUGACGUAUGUCUUUUUCAAUUCAGUGGCAAGUGCAUUUUCUCAAUUCUAUCGAACUGUGUCUUUCCAAACCUUCAGGAUUGCCAAGAUGAGUUAGGAAGAAACAGGAUCUGGAUCUGUUUCCUACAAAAGUGUCAAUAUUUGCCAAAACAAAGAGCAGGGAGUACCCCCAAUGGAAUGCCAUCUGUCCUUGUCUUUGAGAGCGUGCUGGAAGAUCUUUUCACAGCCAAGAGAUGAUUAUUUGGCAUAACUGAUACUGAAAAUCAACAAGGUGGCUUACAGAUCAGAAACUGGCUGAUGUAAAGACAUACUUUGCUAUGUGAAAACUGGAAGUAUAGAAAUGUGUUUCGUUUUAGAAUCUAUAAACUAGGGAUUGUUUACUUUACCAAAGUAUUUCCCACAGGAACAUUUUAAUCAGCAGGAUCGCCUGGUUGAUUUAAAUAUUCCGAUCAUUAACAAGUCAUUUUGUUGCACAGACUUUUAAGAAAUGAGCAGCUGAUAAGAUGAGACAUAAUUCCCCUCUUAUGGUUCCAUUAUUUCAACCACACUGUUUCUUAAGCAGUUAAGCUCAUCACUUUCCUCUAUCACUUAUGGAAACUCAGUUUGGUUGCAGUUUUAGGGCGGAGGCAUAACGCACAAGGCCCAGCUUCUGAAGUAUGGUCAGUUGCCUGACCUGAGUUCCAAAGGGUGGUCUUAGCUGCCUGGUUUCUCCUUUGGAGAAUACCCAGAUUCCUUUGAACGGCAACCCACAGAGUAAUUCAAGAGAUCGUCUUGGGUAGCAGUGAAAUUCUUUAAAAUUCAUUUGGCAGGUUUCAGGCUCCAUUUCUCCUCCUACAGAGUAUUGCUCAGUGGGGUGUUUGCCACUCAGAACUUCUAAUCCGUCUGUGUGUUGUCCAGCUAAUGGCGUUUGCAGUCCACUUGGGGCAGACAGACAAUAAACAAAUAAUUUGUCAGGGAGUGAUAAAUGCUUAAAAAAAAAAUAAAGCAGGGGAAAAGGGAUAAAGAGGAAGAGAGAGGUGGUAUGUGUGUGGGUGCACACAUCUGUGUUACAGAAGAAGGUAGAUAGGGAAAGUCUGACCUGAAGCAGAUGAGGGAGAGAACCACAAAGUUAACUCAGGGAGAGAGUAUUCCAAGUAGCGAGAAUAGUAAGUUCAAAGGCCCUGAGGCAGGAGAGUACCAGCUGUGUUCAAAGAAUAGUGGGGAGGCCAGUGCAGCAGGAAGGGAGAGCAGCAUCAGGUGCCAAGUCAUGCUGGAUAUCACGGGCCAUGGUGAGAAUUUGUAUUUUACUCUGAGUAGGAUGGGGAACUGCUAGAGGAUUUUGAAAAGAAAUUAACACAUGCAAAACACUUAACACACUGCAUACAGUAAGUACUCAAAAAAUGCUCACUUUUAUUUUACUUUCCUUGACUCUAAAGGUAAUCUCCAUUCUGCUUUAGAAGAAUAGUAUUUUCUUUUCUAAAUGUGGCAGAAAGGCUGGAAAGCAAAUGAAAAAUUCCUGGUCUUACAAUCUUUAGGUCCAAUUUUAGCAUUCUACAUCUCCACAGGUUUGAUUAUGAGAAAGUUACCCCAUGUUCAAGAUUUUAGGUCCUUCUUUUCCAUUCUGCUGCUCAGCAGUAUGUUUUUUUAAAAAACUUCUUGUUAUGGACAUUUUCAAAUUUAGUACGGAAGUAGAUGGGACACCCAGCCUCAGGCAAGUAUCUAUUCAUGGCUAAUCGUGUUUCCUCUAUACUGCCAUCUAUUUUCCACCCCUUCCUUACAAUGAAUUACUUUACGGUAAAUCCCAGACAUAGCUUUUUAUCCAUGGAUGCUUCAGUAUGUAUCUCUACACUCUUUCUUUACCAUAAUACCAUUAUCAUGCUUACAGAUUUAACGAUAAUAUCAUCAAAAAUCAAGUCAGUAAUUAGAUUUCCCUGGUUGUCUCAUUAAUGCUUUUUAAAAAUAGUUAAUUUGUUUAAAUCAGAAUCCAAACAUGGUCAUACUUUCCAUUUGGUUAAUAGGUCUUGUAAAUCUUUUAAAAUCUGUUCACCUUCCCUUUUUUUUUUUUUCCUUUUCUUUUCUUUGUUGGAGAAACCUGGUCAUUCGUUCCUUAGAUGUCCCUUGUUUUGGGUUUUGCUGAGUGCCUCCCUGUGGAGUUGUUGCAUGUGUUCGUUUUUCCUAUAAACUGGUGGUUAGUUCUAGAGACAUAAUCAAGUUGGAUUUUUUGGCAAGACUGCCUCAAACGAGGUGCUGUGAGCUUCCUGUUGCACCCCAUCAGGAGGCAUGUCCUGCCUAGCUGCUCUCUCUCCUCCAAUUUACCAUUUUAUCCAUAUUAAAGUGUACAAUUCAGUGACGUUUACUACAUUCACAAUGUUGUGCAACAUCACCACUCUCUAAUUCCAGAACUUUUCCAUCACCCCAAAAAGAAACCUAUACCCCUUAAGUAGUCACUCCCUGUCUCCCCUCCUCCUAGUCCCUAGCAGCCACUAAUCUGCUUUUUGUCUUUAUAGAUUUUGCUAUUUUGGAUAUUUCCUAUAAACGGAAUCAUGUACUAUGUAGCCUUUUGUGUUUGGCUUCUUUCACUUGGUGUAAUGUUUUCAAAGUUCAUCCACGUUGGAACAUGUGUCAGUACUUCGUUCCUUUUUAUGACUGAAUAGUAUUCCAUUGCAGACAUAUACCACAUUUUAUUUUACCCAUUCAUCAGUUGAUGGACAUUUUGGUUGUUUCCGUCUUCUGACUAGUGUGAAUAGUGAUGCUAUGAACAUUCAGGUACAAGUUUUUGCUUGAACACCUGUUUUGUAUUCUUUUGGGUGUACACCUAGGAGGACCUCCCUUUCAGUGAUGUUAUCAGUGGGUUCCCUUGGCGUCAGUCUCAUCCAUACAUGAUGAUGUUCCCUGUGGGCCUUUCAUCUAUGGAUUUUAGCACCAUUGCUGAUCACUGCCAAUUCCAGUAGGGUUUCAACAGCAUGGUUUUCAUGGAGGUCAAGGUGGUCUAACCAUUUUAUUUUCAAUUCACAUUAAAGCACCACUGGGCAACCACAUUUAUGCGAUUUUCUGAGGGGAAGAAAAAGAGAGAGGGAGGGAUUGGUGACCAAAAAGUGUGGGGGAAGCUGCAUACGAUGGAUCCCUCUUGCUGCAGAUUCCAGUGCCCACUCACAUAUUAAGGCCCCUGGGAAGUUCUGCAAAAAAGAAGACUGUUUAGCUUCGUUUAACUCUGUAUUCCCCAAGUUUAUUUGACUACAAACUUUUUUUUCUUUAUAAUUCUUAUUACUAUCCAUUCAAAUAUACUUUGGAGAAUACUGUUUUAGGGUCUAGGUUACUUAAAAGAACAUUACUUAUUAAUAUAUGCAUGUGUUUCUUUUUAAAAUUUUUUUUUAUUGAGGUAACAUUGGUUUAUAACAUUGUAUAAAUUUCAGGUGUAUGUCAUUCUAUUUCACCUUCUGUACAGACUGCAUUGUGUUCCUUACCAAAGUCUAGUUGCCAUUCAUCUCCGUACAAAUGUCCCCUUUUACUUCUUUCUCCCUCUUCCCACUCCCCCUUUCUGAGUGGUAACCAGCAGUCGAUUCUCUGUAUCUGUGUGUUUGUUUGUCUUCCACAUAUGAACGAAAUCAUACGGUAUUUGACUUUCUUCAUCUGACUUAUUUUGCUUAGCAUGAUACCCUCAAGGUCCAUCCAUGUUGUCACAAAUGUCAAGAUUUCAUCUUUUUCUUGUGACUGAGUAGUAGUCCAUUGCAUAUAUAUGGAUACCAAGUAUUCUUUAUCCAUCAUCCAUCAAUGGACACUUUAUUAGGUUGUCUCCAAGUCUUGGCUGUUGUAAAUAAUGCUGCAAUGAACCUAGAGGUGCAUAUAUCUUUUCAAAUUAGUAUUUUCAUGUUCUUUGGCUAAAUAUCCAGAAGUGGAAUAGCUAGAUCAUAUGGUAGUUCUAUUUUUAAUUUUUUUGAGGAAUCUUCGUACUGAUUUCCAUAGUAGCUGCACCAAUUUAUAAUCCCACCAGCCAUUAAUGAGGGUUCCCUUUUCUCUAUAUUCCCUCCAACAAUUGUUAUUUCUUGUCUUUUUAAUAAUAGUGAUUCUGAUAGGCAUGAGGUGAUAUCUCAUUGUGGUUUGAUUUGCAUUUCCAUAAUAAUUAUUGAUGUUGGACAUCUUUUCAUGUGCCUGUUGGCCAUCUGUAUAUCUUUGUAAAAAUGUCUGUUCAGAUCCUCCCAUUUUUUAAGCAGGUUGUUUGUUUUUUUGUUGUUGAGUUGUAUGAGUUCUUUAUAUAUUUUGGAUAUUAACCCCUUAUUGGAUACAUGAUUGGCAAAUAUUUUCUCCCAGUUGAUGGUUGUCUUUUCGUCUUGUUGAUAGUUUCCUUUGCCACGCAGAAGCUUUUUAAUUUGAUGAAGUCCCAUUUGUUUAUUUUUUCUUUUGUUUCCCUUGUCUGAGGAGACAUUAAAAAAUGUACUGCUAAGACUGAUGUCAGAGUACAUUGGCUGUGUUUUCUUCUAGGAGUUUUCUGGUUUCCAAUCUUACAUUUAAUCCCUUUUGAGUUAAUUUUUCUGUAUGGUGUAAGAUAGUGAUCUGCUUUCAUUCUUUUGUGUGUAGCUGUCCAGUUUUCCCAACACCGUUUAUUGAAGAGACUUUCCUUUCUCCAUUGUAUGUUCUUGGCUCCUUUGUCAAAAAUUGGCUAUCCAUAAAGGUGUGGUUAUUUCUGGGGUCUCGGUUCUGUUCCACUGAUCUAUGUGUCUGUUUUUCUGCAGUACCAUAUGCAUGUGUUUCUUAGCUGUCUGGCACCAACCUGACAGUCUCCUGAAGCUUAUAUUCACUUAGUGGCCAUAAACUGACUGUAUUCUUAUAAAAGCCCUGGGCAGCAGAAUUGGCAAUAUAUCUGGCAAAGCUUCACUUAGAAACUCUGAAUUGAGAUUAUGUCCCUGGGGAUGAAUGCUUGAGCCAACAAAGAAUAUGUCAGUUUUACUUGUCACCUCCAUCUUAUAGUGUUUGAUGGACAUCUGUGAUAAACCUUAGAGAAGUGCCGUAUGGAUGUGUACCCAAGGACGCCAGUGGUACUUAUAGUUCCUCUCUCUGCUCUUCAUUGCUUUACUCCACACAUCCUCCAAACCACAUCUAGGGUGGCUAUUCCACCUUAUGUUUCCCGGAUCAUACUGCUGAGGACUCUGUCUCACCACCUACACAAUCAGCGUGGUUAGAUGAGGCUAAACAUGGAGGUCAAAAUGGAGAGAGUAUCUGGCGGAUUCCUUGGUUGACUUUCCGAGGUCAGGGACCUGACAGUGCUCCUUUCAUAUGGCCUUUAGGAAGAAGCGUCCACUUGAAUAUGUUUCACUUACAUAAGUGACACAUGAAACUUGAUAAGUUUGCUUUUAAAAAGCUCUUAUGAGUCAGCUAGCUGUGCAGAGUGCUGACUGAGUGACCUGCACCUUUGAGAUUGGAAGCAGAAGAUGGUGCCUGCCAGAUAGAUACUUUUGGUUUUUGUGAGGAGAAAGGUGGUGAGAUGCUACUAAGGCCAAACACGUGACUGCCUCCUUCUUAUGACAGUCUCCCGACAUGGUCUCAGGGCCGAGUCUAGGUACUGCCCCAAACCGUAUGUUCUGAGGGGAGAAGAGAUUCCACAGUAGAAAGAAGUUGCCUCAAGAAUGAGAGGACAACGUCAAACGUACUGUCAAUAAUUCAUCAAAUGACAGUGAGAAAGCACCUGGUUCAGGUCAUGCCGAGCAGCCAACAGAUCCUGGGCCAAGAACACCAACGGCAGAAGGAAGCAGACCCGAGCCAACUUGCUCAUGAGCUGAAAUAUUCAAAUGUGGAUACAAGGCAGUUACCUAAUUCUUGCACCUGUUCUGAAUCAGCACGCACUGUAAUGUUGAACCAAGAUUUGACAUGAUGCCAGUGACGGCAGCAGAAGCAGAAAAUUUGCUGUGACACCACCCAAAUGGUGCCAGGGAAGGGACGAAGAGAACCCAUUGGGCUCUGCCAUCAGCUGUGGAGGACUUUCAGAAGCCUUUCUCCUACUGGCAGGGAAGACUUGGGCCGAUGCCUGGCUUCCUUGGAGUAGCUUGCUAAAUAAAUUGGCAUGGACCCACAUUUAAAAAUUUGCCAGCUAAAGAUGUUUUAGGUGUGUCAGUGGGGUUUUGGUUUCAUGAUUGCUGCUAAGAAAGUUUGAGCAACUCACAUACAAUUUCACUGAUUUAAUUACUGCUUAGAAAGGAAAUUACCAGAUUUAGGAGCCUAGGAAAAGACAUCAGCAUCAUGCCUCACAUUUCUCAUGGUGUUCAAGCAAGAGUCAGUAUUGAUCAAAACUUUUCGUCUGCCUCCAGCGGUUUUAAAGUGACAUGUAAUUAGCUGACUUAUUUUGUGGUCCCUUCUUCAUGACUGUGUGUUGGACAGUAUCAAAAGACAUCUGCCUGUGGCUGUUUAUAGGAAUCUCGAAGCUCAGUGUCUUGUGGUCUUCUAUAAAAGGUAAUUGAAGAACUUUUGUUUGCAGAAUAUGGAAGUGCUUUAAAAUGCUUGUGGGAGAAAAUCUUGAAAGGAUGGUAGACCCAUUUAUAGGAGAGGUGGCAAACUGUGACCUGUCUGGACUUUAGAAAAAAAAUGUAUGCAUCUGCUUGAAGCAGCUUUUUAUAAGUGGAAUGCAUGACUUACUUUAUAAAUAGUAAAACCUAAGCCUUGGAAGCAGUUUUGAUUCUCCAGGGACCACAACUUAUGUUAAAAGGGCGAAUAUGGUUCAUGAUAAGAUCUGAAUGGGUUAUGGAAUAAUUAGACAGAAAACCCAACUCAAAAUAAAUGUUGACUGAGGUUCUAAGACUGAGCAUCCCUCUGGCAGGUGGUGUGUCUACCAUGUGGAUGUAUUUGAACCAACAUCACAGAGUGGGAGAGGAUCUUAGCUGUCAUCUUCUCUACCUUCCCCAGCUUCCAGAUGGGAACCUUUGACCAUCUAGAUGGUUGAACAUGCCCAGGACCUCACAGGCAGCCUAUCUCAUGGGUGCCUGCCCAGAUCCCCUGUAGCCUCUAACCACUACUGAUUCUGUGGAUCUGGAUCCUUCUGCAGUUGUUCACUUAAUCAAAGAGGAUGAACUUCCUAGAGAGAAGAGAACAGUGCUUUAGCCAAGCAAAGAGCAGUAGAUGUGCUUCUGAACUAGACUCUCCAAAGACCCCAUGAGCACUUUUCCAGACCAGCACCCCAUCGCAUCCUGCUUUUCCUCCCUUUCAGUUUCAAGACCUUUUGGCAUCCUGGAGGUCUACCACCAGCUGGCAUCCGUUAGCCAGUGGUCUUAAAAGGGAUGCCUAGCAAAGGAAUGCAAUACGGCCGGUAUAGUCUGGUCAGAGCUCGCUUUUCUGGGCAGUAUACUUUUAGAUCGUUAAGUAAGUUGAGAGAUUCACCCACCUUCUUUGGGCUUUAAUUUAUUUCCUGAACAUCUUUUACAAAUUAUUAUUUUCAAGAUGUAAACUACAUAAAAUAGUACCACCACUUUGGAAAACAACUUGGCAUAGUAAAGUUCACCCAGCAAUUCCAUUUUUAGGUAUCUUCUCUACAGAAUCUCUUGCAUGUGUGUACCAGGAGACAUGUAAAAGAAUGUUCAUAGUAGCAUUGUCUGCAAUAACAACAAAAACAAACAAAUGAACAAAACAACUGGAAAUAUCCCAAAUGUCCCUUGACAGGAGAAUGAAUAAAUGAAUUGCUCAUGCAUUUUUUUAUUGUGGUAAAAUAUACAUAACAUAAAAAUUUACCAUUUUAACUAUUUUUAAGUGUACAGUUUUGUGGUAUUAAGUUUAUUCACAUUGUUGCGCAACUGUUACCACCAUCCAUCUCCAAAACUUUUUCAUCUUCUUCAGCUGAAACUCUGUGCCCAUUAAACACUAACUCUCCAGUCCCUUCUCUACCCAGCCCCUGGCAACCGCUGUUCCACUUUCUGUCUCUGUGAAUUUGCCUGUUCUGUGUACCUCAUAUAAGUGGAAUCAUACAAUAUUUGUCCUUUUGUGACUAGCUUAUUUUACUUGUCUAACGUUUUCAAAGUUCAUCCAUGUUGUUGCAUGCAUCAGGAUUUUCUUCCUUUUUAAAGCUGAAUAAUAUUCCGUCGUUUAUAUAUACAUAUCGCAUUUUAUUUACCCAUUUGUUGAUGAAUGCUUGGAUUGCUUUGGCCUUCGGCUCUUGUGAAUAAUGCUGCUAUGAACGUGAGUGUAAAAAUAUUUGGUUAAGUCUCUGCUUUCACUUCUUUUGAGUAUGUACCCAGAAGUGGAAUUGCUGAUCAUAUGGUAACUCUGUUUUGAGGAAUCAUUCUAUGUACUGUUUUUCACAGUGGCUGCAUCUGUUCAUUCAUUCAUUCAUUCUUUUUUUUUUACUGCCUGUAAUAUUCUGUAGUAUAACUAUAAUGUAAUUUAUCAGAUAUUGCCAAACUUUUUUCUAAAGUGAUUUGUUGAUAUAUUUACCUACCAGUAGUGUAUGAAGAGUUCCUUGUAAUCUACAUCUUUACCAACACUGAGUUUUAUUGGGUUUCUUCAUUUUUGCCAAUUUAGUGGUUUUUCGGUGAUUAUCUUACCAUAGUCUUAAUUUUUAUUUCCCUGAUUACCAUUGCAAUUACUCAUAAUUUUAUAUGUUUGAAAGCUUUGUUUUUCACAUAGACAUCUUUAAUCCAUUAAGAAUUAAUUUUUGUGUAUGAUGUAUGAUAGGGGUCUAAUUUCAUUCCUUUCUACGUGGAUAACCAAGUAUAUGGGUUCCAUCUUUUUCCCAUUGCCAUUCAUCUCAUUUGUAAAGUUUCCAUGUAUGUUUGGUCUGCCUAUGAGCUCUCUAUCCGUUCACUUGGUUAAUUUGUCCACCUACGUUAAUGGCAUCUGUUUUCUUUACCAUGAGGUGAUAAUGAUGUAUUGAGACUGAUGCUGGGUUAAUUGGGCAUUUAUUGUCCAGUAUUGUAAUUGCACCUGGUUAUGGACUAGGUGGGGUUAGAGUUGGCCUGCUGGCUGACUAAAGUAUGGUCCGUGCAGUCAUGGGGCUCUCAGACACGUAUUUCAAUCCUGAUGAUGCAAGGUGAGAAGUGUGGUAAUAGAGGAAUGGCUGAAGUGCUAAUAAGAAGAAAUGAUGAAGGAAACAACUAAUUCCAGUAUGAAGGCAUCCAGGAGGGUAACAGUCAGGGAGGUUGAACAUUUCAAAUAGGAAGUAUAUGAUAUCAUGGUUGAGAGCCGAGUUCUAGAGGUAGACAAACUCAUAUUUGAAUGUGUGACCCUGACAAAUUCUUGAGACCUCACUGAGGCUCAGCUUCCUUAUCUAUUCAACAAGGGUAAUAAUAAUACCUCCCUCAGAAGGUUGUUGGGAAGAUAAAAACAGACCGUGUAUCAGGAGCACUUAGCUAAGUGCCUGACACAUUGGAAGUACUCAAUAAAUGUAAACCUAUUAAUUAAUUCAUUCAAUAAUAUUAACUGAGCACCCACUGUCUGCCAGACAUGGCAAAAGGCUAUAAAUGCAAGUAUGAGCAAAACAAAUGGUCUCUACCCUCACGUAGCUUUCAGUCAAGUGGGAUAGAUAGAUGCUCAUAAAAUCAUCACACAAAUAUAUCAUUAGAGACUUUGACGAGUACUAUAACGGGAAAUUAUGGCCAACUAGGACAGAACAGAAGAGGGAAACCUGACUUAUGAUUAUUAUUUGUAUUAUCACGACUUCUGAGCUGGGACUUGAAGGAUGAGUGGUUUAUGGGCGUGGCAGGCAGGCAAGGUCAUUCUGGGCACACAGAACUUCAAAAGAGAGGGCAUGGAGAUGUGGAAGUUUUACAUCAGGUCAAGGGCAAGGGCCUGGGCACCCCUCACUUCCUGCCCACCUUUCCCAGAGGACAGGCAGGAGAAGGAGGUUGAGUGAUUACCUCUGGCCCCUAAACAUAUAUUGUGGCUCAAUGAACUCCGAUCUUUGGUCACUGUGAAAAGUUAUUCUCAGUGCCACUGACCAGCUCCUUGGCAAUAACAGACUGAAAAUGAAUAGUGAAAAUGGCUCAGGGGAGUUGGAUAACAAUGAAGUCUUUUUGACGUUAAUGCUGGUCAAAAAAGUAUCUAGCACCGGCUUCAGUUGGGCAUUCCAAAGCUCAAAGAUAAAAAGAAGUGCUCAGAGAAAAUAAAGUUAAAGCUUUUUCCGAGACAUCUGUGAGGCAUUUUUACAAGCUGAUGGUGAGUACUGUUUUCCAUUUAGAGUAGAUGUGGCAAAGAGUUAUAUUUGCAAGAAGGGAAAAAUAGAUGAUUGUGAGGGGUUUUUCUGGAACAAGUACAAUUCAGUAGCUCUCAAAUUGUAGUGUAUAUCAGAAUUCCCCCUGGAAGCCUGUUAAAAAUUUAGACUCCCUGGCCAUCCCCAAGACUCAGUAGGUGUUCCCUGGGCCUAGGGCUCUGUAUUUUUAACUAGCUGCUGGAGGACACCCUUUGAAAAACCUUGCAGACUUAGUAUCUUUAACUCUUUCCUUUCUUUUAUCUUUGUUUGCAAAUUCUUUUAGAAGAGUUUCUGAACAGGCUUUCUUUUGCAUUCCCCCUUCCCUGACCUCACUGUCAGCUGGGGGUCCCAAGCACAAUUGCCUGGGCAGGUCUCAUGAAUGUGCGAAACUGGGAGGGUAGGAGAAUAGGAAUUAAGCUGGUUGGGCGGGCAGCCUAUCUGUCUAGUCACUUGGCUUUUCUAAACAUUGUGCAAGCCAAGAACACAUCCCUGAGAGCUUUUUGCAUCUCAGUGCUGCCUGUUGGCCACCCAACCACCCAUUCAAACAAUUGUGUAGAAGAUAAUGGUGCAGGUUCUGGCCUCAGCUGACUUCAGCUGGAGUCCUAGCUCCACCACUUCCUAACAGGUAAUCUGACGAGUUCCUGAACCCCUUCAAGCCCUUCUCUUCUCAUUUCUAAGACUGGGCUUGGCUCAUCUGGCUUUUGCAAGGAUGUAAAAAGGUAAUACAUGAAUAUGUCAGGUACAGGGGCUAGCCAUUUGGGGACUUAAGUGAGUGAGAUUAAGUAGAGUGAACAGGUAAAAUUGAAGGGAUAUUUCUGUGCAUUGUCACAGACUGUGGAGAGCAACAGGCAGACAUCCAUCUCAUUGUCCAGCACACAGCCCCUCUCAUUCUGCCCUAUGUACUUUUUUUGUCUAAUUGAGGUAUAAUUAACAUAUGACAUGAUAUUAGUUUCAGGUGUAUAACCUAAUGAUUCAAUAUUUGUAUAUAUUGCAAAAUGAUCACCACAAUAAAUCUAGUUAACAUCCGUCACCAUACAUAGUUACAGAAUGUUUUUUCUUGUUAUGAGAACUUUUAAGAUCUACUCUCUUAACAACUUUCAGAUAUGCAAUACAGUAUUAUUAACUAUAGUGGCCAUGCUGUACAUUACAUCCCCAUGAUCUAUUUAUUUUAUAACUGGAAGUUUGUACCUUUUGAGCACCUUCACCCAUUUGCCCCCCGACCCAACCCUACCCCCACCUCUGGCAACUACCAAUCUAUGAGCUAGGUUUUUUUUAGCUUCCACAUAUAAGUGAGAUCAUAUGGUAUUUGUCUGUCUCUGUCUGACUUAUUUCACUCAGCAUAGUGCCCUCCAGGUCCAUCCAUGUUGUAGAAAGUGGUCAGAUUUCCUUCUUUUUUAUGGUUGAAUAAUAUUCCUCUGUAUAUAUACAGCACAUCUUCUUUGUCCAUUCAUCCAUCGAUGGGCACUUACAUUGCUUCCACUUCUUGGCUGUUGUGAAUAAUGCUACAAUGAACAUGGGGGUGCAGAUAUCUUUUCAAAUUACUGUUUUUGUUUUCUUUGGAUAAGUACCCAGAAGUGGAAUUGCUGGAUCAUAUGGUAGUUCUAUUUUUUAGUUUUUGAGGACCCGCCAUACUGUGCUCUCUGUACUUUUGCAGUUAUUUCUCUUCCUAUAAACUUCCAUUGUCUCCACACCCGUAUACAUUUAACCAAAUUAUUUUCAGAGCUCAACUGAAGUCCCACUUAUGGGAAACCUUUCGCUGUGGCAAUAACUUCAGCUCUCACUAAUGUUUCUUUCUCUAGUUUACUAUCGCGAUUUUCAUCCACAUCUGUACCAGUUAGGUUCCGAUUGCGUUCUGCCUUAUGGGUGUGUUUUGUCAUUUCAUCUAAAACAAACUCUUGGAGGUCUGGGUAAAUAUUUUGCUUCCAAUAACUGCAGGAAAAACCUAUAUAUGUGAAAGGGCGAUAUAAGUUAGCAUUGACCAACUUAAAGUAAUUUUUUUUUGCUUCAUAAAGAGCCAAGGCUCUGAAUUUUCAUAUAAUUCUCACAUAUGAAUUCUCAUAUAAUUCUCAAAGAAUCAUGCAUUCUUUGUAUCCAAUUUAUUCAGUCAUGUAUUCCUGUGCAUUAUAAAUACAGAAAUAUGAGAAAUUCAUUAGCAACCUAGAUCUACCUCUUUCUCCUCAGUACACACCACACACACACACACACACACACACACACACGCACACACACAAAGGAGGGGAAUUGAGGGCCAAGAUUAUAAUACGAUAUUGGUACUGGGCCGUUAAUCUCAGCAGUUCUCACCCCUGGCUGGUUUCCUCUCUCCUCUCAUGUGCAAACGUGCUGAUCAGGGAGGUGUAACCCUCACUUGCAACCCUUUCCUGGUUGGUGGUGGAUGGAUCUGGAGGCUGCUUGAGGCUGUCCUUGUCACUGCCCCCCUGUGGCUCCACUCUGAGAGGGAGGCUUCUCGCCCUGUUCUUUAAACAUUUUGCUUAGAGACUCUUCUCUUCCCACCCCAAACAGAGGAACACUCUCUCUGAGCAACAGCGUUCUCAGCCAGCAGUGGACAGUCUGCACUGAAUGUGCUCACAGCUUCCCAGGAGCUGGGCUGGGCUCAGGGUUGUGGUGGGACACACCCCUGUGCACUUGUCUUUACCUUCCUCUUUUGUCUUGAAAUAAAACACACAGCUUUCAAAUUUCCUGUACGUUAGUUUUUUCUCUUCUGGGGACACUCUUUCCAAAGGGCGGCUUUCAGGGCGCUUAACCUUGGGAUUUGGGGGCUAGAUUUUUGUUCUCCAACUCCCUUCCCUUUUCCACCUGGGAAGUGCACAGUAUUUCAGGCACUGCGACCUCUAGAGGCUGGUUAUGGCAUCCCAGUUAAAUCCAGUGAAAUUUCUCAUUACAUUUUUUUUUUUUUUAAGGAAGAUUAGCCCUGAGCUAACAUCUGCUACCAAUCCUCCUCUUUUUUGCUGAGGAGGAUUGGCCCUGAGCUAAUGUCUGUGCCCAUCUUCCUCUACUUUAUAUGUGGGACGCCUGCCACAGCAUGGCUUACCAAGCAGUGCCAUGUCCGCACCUGGGAUCUGAAGCAGCGAACCCUGGGCUGCCGAAGUGGAACGUGUGCACUUAACUGCUGCGCCACCAGGCCAGUUCCUCAUUACUUCUUGACCCCAAAUAAAAUACCCAAUGUAGGCAGCCUGUGGUGAAGUGGGUCAGGGAAAGGGGUGAACCUUGUUUGAAAGUUACUGUUUCUCUCAGAAGAAAAUUCUUGGCUUUAACUCCAACAACCAGUUUCUCUAGUACACCUUCAGGUGAAGUUGGACUGCCCUGUCAUGCAACUUUCUGAGACCCAAACCACCUAAUUUUCACAGUCUGGAUUCCUUGUUUGUAUUGAGAGAAUCUCUCCAUAAGUUUGUCAAACCCUGAAGCUGGCUUGAUUUCUAGGCUGGCUUGAUUUUAUCCUUUAGAAAAUAUCUUACUCAAUGGGGAAAAAAAAAGCCAUGACAAUCUUUCACCCUCCGUGGAUAUGUCCUCAUAAACUCAUCCAGUGGCAGCACAACUUUUUGUUGUGGUCCUCUGGUGGAUGAGUGAAAAGAACCUGAGGCUUUGCAAAGUUGUCAGGAGGAGGAAGUUGAGGAGGACCGGAGAUCUCCAGACCUGGCCUUUGCUGGAGAACAGGGGCAUUUCCCAGGACCAUUUCUCUGCAAAACGUGGCUCACAGCACUGCACUUCAGAGCCAGAGCCAAAGACCACGUGAAGUCGCCUGUCCCGAGGAGAGAAAAUGACCUGGUGUUUUUUAGCUAUGAGGUUGCUACUACUCACCUUGAGGGAGAAAUUCACAUUAGUUUAACCAACCCUAUGUGCUUCCAAUUCAAUUAAAAAAACCUGAUGUUGUCAAAUAGAAACAUAGGCCUUUACUCAUUUCUCAAGUAGAAUGAAAUGAAAUUGAUUGUCUAUAAAAUAUUUAUCAGAUCUAGGCUAGUGUUUGAAUUAGAAUAUCUCCUGCAGGCCUUAAAAUGUCCUCUCUCUGCUUAUUUCAUUAUUGAUUAGGCAGACAAAAUUUUUACUUAAUGUGGUGACCAUAAUGUGUUUACGGGGAUUAAUUUACUCACUCUUGAGGAUUAAUUUAAUUCUUUUAUGUUAGUCGUUUUUUCCUGGGACUUUUUUUUCCCCAAAGGGUCACAUCCAAAUUUAUUAAGACUGUUAUAUGGUUCACAAUAAUUUGGGUGUAAGUGAAUAAUUUAUGCCUGUGUUUGCCAAGCCUGGCUGCCCAUCAGAAUUAUGUGGGGAGUGUCUGAAAAGUACAGAUUCCAGGGUGUCACCACAGACUCAGUGAAGCAGAAUCGCUGAAGGUACGGCCUGGGAAUUCUUCCGUUUACAGAUGCUCCUCAGUGAUGCAGGUGCAGCAGCCAGGCCCCUCUUAGUGGACUCGGGUUUCGGGAACUGAUCAACAUAGUUUAGUCCUGCGUAAUUUUAAGGUUAACAUGUUAUUGUCAUUAAGUGUAGAGAAUUUUCUGUUGCUAACACCACAUGUCCUUAUUUCUUUGCAUCCUUCUGUCCAUGAGAAUUACCCAAGCACCCCUUCUUACAUGAGAAGUGAAUUUCAGAGGAGGAGGACAAGCCAUACGAGGUGAAGGUGGUUCUGAGUGCAGCCGUGUUGUCACUGUGGAUGGAGGAGCUAGCUAGAGCAAGCAGACCAGCCACCUGAUGAGCUCUCUCUCUCUCCUGCCGGUCUGGUCUAGACUAAGCUCUUUGGGUCAGCAUCGCUCCAUUUGACUGGGUCCCUGAAGGCCCUCAGGAAAGAUAGGUUGGGUUACGUGCCAGCAGAAUUCACCAUGUUCAGUGAUGUGAAUUGGUACCUAGACACAGGGCUUGAAAAAUACUGAUCUGUAAAGUUACUUGAUGAGUAGAGACACAGUUAUACACCAUUUAAAAGCUCUCAAGACUAAAACACUCAAUUAUAUCUCAAUUAAAACACGACAAGCACAAUCACAGUAAUGACAACAAAAACACUAAAAAAACUAAAGUUUUUAGCUUAUGUCAAUGAAUAGGCUGUCUCCCCCUCAUGUCAAUGAAUAGACAUUACUGAACAAAGGCCAUCCAUCUAUUUGAACUAAAACUUAGUCUCUGGGUUUGAUCAACGAUUUCAUGCAAAUAAACCUAUCUAUUAGAAAAGCCUUAUAUGUGGUACAAAAAGUAAAUCACAUUGAAAGGCGUGCGUUUGAGGGGCACAUGGCAAAUUCCAACUGUACAAAAGGCCUAAGAUGAAAAAUAAAGCUCCUUCUCAUCCUUUCUAGGUUUUGUUUGUUAGAGACACUCACUGAGAUCAAUUUCUUGGCUAUGCUUUGAAAAAUAUUAUAUGCUUAUAUCAUAUACCACCUCUUACAUGUAUAGGCAGCCUCUUAAACAAGUUGUUUCCAGCCUUUUUACUAUUAUAAAAAAUGCUCUGGUGAACAUAUCCACGCACAUAUAUACAUACCUGUCCUAUGAGCCUCUGAACCCAUGGGGUAGUGUGUUUGAAAGAUACAUUUCUGGAAGUGGAAUUAAUGGGCUCAACGGAUAUAUGAACACUUAGUUUUGACAGACAGUCCAAAAUGUCCCCGCAAGGGUUGCGCCACUUUACCAGUCAUGAAGAGUUUGAGAGUCAUCUUACUGAAUGCUCUUGUUUCUAAUAGUUUUUCUGUUGAUUUGCUGUUUGUGUGUUUUUCCAGUUAUAUGAUACAUCAUCACAGAUAGGGAUAUCUUACCUCCUUAUUUCCAAUUUUAAUACCUGUCUUUCUUUUGCAUUGGCUAAUAAUUCUAGAGCAAUGCUAAGCAAUAGCAGUAAGAGUGGGCAUCUUUGUCUUUUUCCUGACUCUAAUGGGAAAGUUUCCAUUAUUUCCUUAUUAAAUAGGAAAAUUAAAAAAACUUUUUCUCUUUACUGAGAAUUUUAAAAAAUCAGAAAUGAAAUGUUAAGUUUUAUCAAAUACCUUUCUGGGAUCUAUAUUAAAUUAAGACUGCUCAGGGGGCUGUCCCAGUGGCACAGCCAUUAAGUGUGCAUGUUCCACUUCAGCAGCCCGGGGUUCGCCGGUUUGGAUCCCGUGUGUGGACGUGGCACGGCUUGGCGGGCCAUGCUGUGGUAGGCAUCCUACAUAUAAAGUGGAGGAAGAUGGGCAUGGAUGUUAGCUCAGG
Molecule: long non-coding RNA, 17105 nt
Filed under: Equus caballus (horse)
Lineage: Eukaryota; Metazoa; Chordata; Mammalia; Perissodactyla; Equidae
Description: lncRNA (ENSECAG00000052763.1)
Source: RNAcentral